This is a non-coding RNA of Podarcis lilfordi (Lilford's wall lizard), 2622 nucleotides long. The record is from the annotation of a GenBank genome assembly. Lineage: Eukaryota; Metazoa; Chordata; Lepidosauria; Squamata; Lacertidae.
UCAGGAAUUUGAACCCUUGCUUAGAUUUUAACACAUGCUGGAUCCAGGGAUUAGAAGGGUCUCGGCAUAUAACCUGCCCUCCCCAUCUCAUAACAAUACCGAUAUUCCUUAGAUUCUUUCUGGAGAAUAUCAUCUCUUUCCUUUCAAAGGCAAGUAGUUCCCAACCUUUUCAGACCCAGGGCCCACCUUUACCCCUGGACCACAAUAGGAUCCCUUUUUAAUUAUUUAUGUAGCUGACCGUCUGUAUUUGUUUUGCUCCUCUCUUUGCUGCCACAUUGUUGUUGCUGUUCUUUGGUCCUUCUCUUAAAAAUACCACCAUAAACAACAGCUACCAAAAAAAUUGUGUUAGUGAUACAGCACAACCCACCUUAGAAAAGGAUGGGUGAUGCAGUUGUGGAUCAAGACUGACCAAAUGAAAGCAAUUACCUAUAGUUCUGUUCCUACAUGGAAGAAGAGAGUCUGUACCAACAAUGAUGUUCAGGUGUUGGGGUUGGGAAAUGACAGGACGUGACUGUGGUUGCCUCCAGACUGUCAGAAUUUUGUGGGAGGCCAGAUAAUCCCCCUAUCAGGGAGACUCAGAGGCCACCAGUUGCUAAUCCUACCAUGGAUGCUUCCCGUGUCUUGCUUUGCAGCUUUAGAUGCCUCGUGUCUUUCUUUUUAGGACUUAGCCACCCAAGGUAAAUGUCACACCGGAUAUAUAUAAUAUGUGCAAAAACUCUUCCUCCCUCUCUUUCUUUCUCUCUCCAUCCCACACUUCCUUGAUGGCAAAUAUUGGCUCGAAAGUUUUUGGCUUCUAAUGUGAUCAAUGAGACAAGCACUCUGGAAGGAGGCAUUGCAGGGAUGUUGCUAUAGAAACCACCAAAGGAGGAAGAUAAAACAGGGACACUUUUUCUUUUCAGCAGGUAGUGAUUCAGCAGAGCCGUGCUCCAGGCAGCUCUGGGAGUGACAUACAGACGUUUCUUUUCUGCAGUAGGUCAUGGUUUCAGGAAGCAAGAAGGGAAGUGUUUUACUCUGUGCUGAUUCCUUUCCUGUUUGUAAUGGUGUGGUAGAAUAUGCAAGGCAGGACUUCCCUGCUUGAUGGUCAUGUGCAUUUAAAUGCUCUAUGUGCUAUGUGGUGUGUCAUACAGCAUAUGCACACACUAAAGAGGAAAUUCUCCACUAACAGACACUGAGUUCUGCAACCUGUGUAAAUCAUGAAUGCUAUCACUAUUUCUCUUGUUUUGGAUAGUUAUGGGGGCUAGGUGGGAUAUUGAAGCCCCACUUCUAUCAAUGGAGAUCUAUUUCAGCCAACCCUCCUCUGUCUUCUGAAAUUUCAGCAGCUCUAGUGAAGCUUGCUCUUUCAUUUUUUAAAAAGAGGUUUUUAGAGAUAAAGUUUAGAUCUAAAAAAACCCAAACCAAACUGCAGCCAGUAUAAAAUUAUGUGGAUUUCUGUGCUAAAGGCUUGCUAGGAAAGAGGGAGGAAAGUGGAGAGAGCUCCCCGCCCAUAGAGCAGCCCCCCUCACCCUUCUGCAUGAACCGUCCUGGGUAUGUCACCUGGUUAAAAAGAGUGAUGCCCAUUGCAGGUGCUCAUUGCUUGCCUGGAAUCAGGAGAUUUUGCUGUGCUCCAAAGCAAGAGUGAUCAAAUGCUUCAACUGCCCCCAAUGCAGAAAUGGGAUAGAGUGAUUUACUGUCACCAGAGGCUAGCUAGAAGCAGACAAAACUCAGUGCAGUGGAUCAGUCAUGCAGCAACACUCUGAGCAACCUCUUCUGAGCCUUCUGUGCCUUCAGUUACUUUGGGGUUCACUUGGAGGAGAAGCAUAAUGUUACAAAUCUAGGGUAGCAAAGAUUUGGGGCACAAGGGCACCCAUAAAUACUAGAGUUGGUGAAUGUUUGAAAUUAAUAAAUGGCAGAAUUUAGAUAAUAUUUGGAAUGUUGGAGGGAAGGUGCCAGGCCAGUGAAAAAUACAGGCUAAGCUUGGAAAGGCUACAGAGAGGCAACAGGGUGCUCCCUUGCAUCUGCCACUGUUGCUGCUGCCGCAGCUCAGGACAAGGGCUGACUCCACUGGUGGAGGAAAUAGGAAUAUUCCAGGAUCAAAUCAGAAGCAUGGAUGGCUUUUGUAAUUCCAGGACCGUCCCUGGAAAAUCGGGACACUUGGAGGGCAUGGAAGUAAAGAGCCCUCAUUUAGUUCAGUGGGGUUUCCAUUGCUUGGGGGAUGUUGGAGGAUAUGGGAUAGAGGUCAUUAAGAAUGACUAAAGGUGCCAGAAGCAAGUCAUUAACCCAGGGCAGAGGCGGGAGUUCCCAUGGUUAUCAUGGGUGGAGAAAGGUUUAGGAUUUCAGUUUCCAUGGCUAGGAAAACAGGGGAGAGGCAGGCUGUGCUCACAGGAAAAAUGUUUCAUUUCACAAGGCUUGGUUUGUUUUUUUCUGGCAAGGGUCUUUGGGAUGGAGCCAGAACUCCAGGCAGAGGCCAUGUGGGGCAGAACCAUAUUGGAGGCUGAGACAGAGCCAUGGAGAUGAUGGCAAGCAGGAUGCCGUGGACCCCACUGCUGCACUGCUGUUGGGGCAAGCCUCUCUUGAGAUGGAACCCUCUCCAAAGUUAGACCCAGGUGUCAAUAUGUGUACAAUAAACUACAUUUCUUAAAGACA